UUGUGAGGUGGAGCAUUUUAGUCCAACAAGUUGCAAAUGAGAAAAACUAGUCCUAGAAGUUGAGAUGCAGAUUGGUUAGAGGUCCAAACCAAUAAGUGUUGACACGUGUCCUGUAUAGUUGGCCCAGACAGUUUCUGGGUUUUUUUUCUGAAAAGAAAACCCCCUGUGAUUAUUGCGCAUCCCGCUCACCUCCUGGGGCGUGACUAGCAGGUCCGGCACGCGCACUGCCUCCGUCCCCGGCGGCAACGGCUUGCACGAUCUCAACACCCUGCCCGUCGUAGUCAACGGAAACCGAGCAGCCGACGGGACUCUCGGCGUGUACCGGGGACAUGUGCAUAAAUCAUUCCUGUCCGGGGGCCCUUUUUGCGAAAUUUCUACGGGUCCGACGUGACUUCAUGUUGCUGCCACCUGUCCAAUUCGGACUAAUUGGACUAAAAUGCUUCCACAUCUCAACUUCUAGGACUAGGUUUUCCCAUUUUACAAGAAGUUGGACUAAAAUGCUCACACCUCUCAAGUU
This is a non-coding RNA of Brachypodium distachyon (stiff brome), 517 nucleotides long. Lineage: Eukaryota; Viridiplantae; Streptophyta; Magnoliopsida; Poales; Poaceae. The record is from RefSeq and is marked provisional.